ACACGACUCUCGGCAACGGAUAUCUAGGCUCUCGCAUCGAUGAAGAACGUAGCAAACUGCGAUACUUGGUGUGAAUUGCAGAAUCCCGUGAACCAUCGAGUCUUUGAACGCAAGUUGCGCCCGAAGCCAUUANGCCGAGGGCACGUCUGCCUGGGCGUCACGCAUCGCGU
RNAcentral lists this ribosomal RNA (170 nucleotides) under Hoya multiflora. RNAcentral's name for it is "5.8S ribosomal RNA". It matches the Rfam family "5.8S ribosomal RNA". From Rfam's summary of the family: 5.8S ribosomal RNA (5.8S rRNA) is a component of the large subunit of the eukaryotic ribosome. It is transcribed by RNA polymerase I as part of the 45S precursor that also contains 18S and 28S rRNA. Functionally, it is thought that 5.8S rRNA may be involved in ribosome translocation. The record is from RNAcentral. Lineage: Eukaryota; Viridiplantae; Streptophyta; Magnoliopsida; Gentianales; Apocynaceae. RNAcentral also lists the same sequence under 1 other name.